Molecule: ribosomal RNA, 275 nt
Filed under: uncultured Gemmata sp.
Lineage: Bacteria; Pseudomonadati; Planctomycetota; Planctomycetia; Gemmatales; Gemmataceae
Description: partial 16S ribosomal RNA
Rfam family: Bacterial small subunit ribosomal RNA
Source: RNAcentral
CCUACGGGGGGCUGCAGUCGAGGAUCUUCGGCAAUGGGGGCAACCCUGACCGAGCGACGCCGCGUGUGCGACGAAGGCCUUCGGGUUGUAAAGCACUGUCGAGGGGGAGAAAGGCCGAAAGGCGUGAUCUAUCCCUGGAGGAAGCUCGGGCUAAGUUCGUGCCAGCAGCCGCGGUAAGACGAACCGAGCGAACGUUGUUCGGAAUAACUGGGCUUAAAGGGCGCGUAGGCGGGCCGCCAAGUCCGAGGUGAAAUCCUCCGGCUCAACCGGAGAAC